GACGAACGCUGGCGGCGUGCUUAACACAUGCAAGUCGAACGGAAAGGCCCUGCUUUCGUGGCAUGUUCGAGUGGCGAACGGAUGAGUACCAAGUGAGUAACCUGCCCUUGCCUUUGUGAUAACUUGCGGGAACUGGGGCUAAUACCUGCUCGGAGCUCCUGCUGCAUGGUGGGGGUUGGAUAGUUUCGGCGGUUGGGGAUGGACUGGUGGCUGAUCAGCUUGUUGGGGGGGUUGUGGUUUACCAAGGCUUGGACGGGUAGCCGGCCUGAGAGGGUGACCGGCCAAAGUGGGAGUGAGAUACGGCCCAGAGUACUAAGGGAGGCAGCGGUGGGGAAUAUUGCACAAUGGGCGGAAGCCUGAUGCAGGAACGCCGCGUGCGGGAUGACGGCCUUCGGGUUGUAAACCGCUUUCGCCUGUAACGAAGCGUGAGUGACGGUAAUGGAUAAAGAAGCACCGGCUAACUACGUG
This 468-nucleotide ribosomal RNA is filed under the name uncultured bacterium. RNAcentral's name for it is "partial 16S ribosomal RNA". It matches the Rfam family "Bacterial small subunit ribosomal RNA", at positions 28 to 507 of the family's 1533-position model. The record is from RNAcentral.